CGAAAAUCUCUCUCUUCGCUGCUCUACUUCCUGCCGUUCCAGUACACAGGGAGAAGAGUUGCUGUUACAGUUCUACCCGGUAACCCGUAACCCAGGUACAAGGCUGUGUGUAGGCCCCUAACACGGCUGGGAUCUAGGCUUCGCGCUGAGGUUUCUGAGGUUAUCAGGCACAUGUUUGGAUAACGGUACAGCGUCUGGGUGCUAAGGUCCACCAUCAGGCUUGUUUGAACUUUGCACAUUUUCUAAUGCAGCUUAAUUUGUUUGUUUCGCAUAAAAAUGGGGUGAUAUUUGUUUGCACAAUUUGGUACGUGUAUACGUACACAUAAUAGAAUUACCACUGAUAUCAGGACUAUACAUUUAGGCAACAGGAACUACAUAAUAUAGUAAAUGUACGAUGAUCACAAACAUAGGAGGCAUUGCCUACUUAAUUAAUGAGGAAAAUUAAUUAUUAACUUUUUAAAUUAACCACAAAUCAACUGCUGCUG
Long non-coding RNA from Branchiostoma belcheri (Belcher's lancelet), 485 nucleotides. RefSeq lists it as uncharacterized. The transcript has 3 exons. NCBI's taxonomy places the organism in Eukaryota, Metazoa, Chordata, Leptocardii, Amphioxiformes, Branchiostomatidae. The record is from RefSeq and is a predicted model, not a curated record.